GUUCGUGUAGUUCAGUUGGAUAGAACGCUUCCCUCCGAAGGAAGAGGUCGCGAGUUCGACUCUCGCCAUGAACACCA
Molecule: transfer RNA, 77 nt
Filed under: Bacillota bacterium
Lineage: Bacteria; Bacillati; Bacillota
Description: tRNA-Arg
Rfam family: tRNA
About the family: Transfer RNA (tRNA) molecules are approximately 80 nucleotides in length. Their secondary structure includes four short double-helical elements and three loops (D, anti-codon, and T loops).
Source: RNAcentral